CCUGAGGCCAGUUAUGUCACCAUAUCAGAGGGCAUUGUUGAGGCGAACUGCUCAGCUGUAUCACGUCCUCCAGCAAAUAUCUCCUGGAACAUGGAGGGUCAAAAUCAAACACUGGGCCCUGCUGUCACAUCAUAUUACCAGCUAGGGGACGGCACCACAAUGGUGGUCCGUUCCAUUCAAAUGCAGGCUGAGCUACUGGACGAUAAACUUGUGAAGUGUGAAGUUCAUCACCAAGGCCUUGAGUCUGCAAUGUAUGUGUUUCUGAAUAAAUAUAGGAACAUCCAUGUCAUUCUCAUCUCAGCCAGCUGUGUGGUCCUUGUGCUGCUCGUAUGUCUGUGUAUCUGCCUGAAGAGGUGUUAACUUUACCUGCUGAGAUGGCUGACUGAAAUGAAAGUUAAUGCUGCUGUGUCCAGAUGUUCUCCCUGACCAAACAACAGUGUUCCCUCUGUCUGAGUCACAGACAAAUCUGAGUCAACGUCUUCUAAUAUAACUGAUAUUCAGUGUAACAGUAUCAAAACAAACAUUUAAUCACUACACUAAAUGCCUUAUUUAUUAUAGAUGGUAGAUUUUAGUAAAGCAGUUUUUCUAGUGACUCAUUCUCAUUAAAGUAUCUUAAAUCUAAGCAGACUUAUCUGAAAGCUGACAUUCUGUAACCACAGAGAGGUCAGUGGCCAGAAAAAAGAAAAAAAAAGUUAUUGUUAGCUUUACUGAUGUUUUGAUGUGUGUAAUAAAAUAACAAAGUUUUAUCAGGGGAAGCACUCUUUUAGACAUGAGCAGCUAAAUGGCCUUUGGUGCCAAGUCAUUGUCUUGAUGUUUGGAUUAAAGUGAUUCAAUUAUUACAAACAUUUUCCCUCUAGAGGGAAGUACACUCAUAGCUUAAAACAUUUAGUCCAUCUGUGUCAUUCUGAAGUGAGGCGGUUUCAUCCCCCUUCUACACCUCCUUGUGUUUUAUGUGUUUUGUAUGAUGUUCUCUGAAACCUCUCAAAUAAUAAAGGAAC
Molecule: long non-coding RNA, 998 nt
Organism: Carassius auratus (goldfish)
Lineage: Eukaryota; Metazoa; Chordata; Actinopteri; Cypriniformes; Cyprinidae
Exons: 3
Source: RefSeq, a predicted model, not a curated record